RNAcentral lists this ribosomal RNA (253 nucleotides) under uncultured bacterium. RNAcentral's name for it is "partial 16S ribosomal RNA". It matches the Rfam family "Bacterial small subunit ribosomal RNA", at positions 524 to 776 of the family's 1533-position model. The record is from RNAcentral.
UACGUAGGUGGCAAGCGUUAUCCGGAUUUACUGGGUGUAAAGGGCGUGUAGGCGGGACUGCAAGUCAGAUGUGAAACCCAUGGGCCCAACCCAUGGCCUGCAUUUGAAACUGUAGUUCUUGAGUGAUGGAGAGGCAGGCGGAAUUCCGUGUGUAGCGGUGAAAUGCGUAGAUAUACGGAGGAACACCAGUGGCGAAGGCGGCCUGCUGGACAUUAACUGACGCUGAGGCGCGAAAGCGUGGGGAGCAAACAGG